This 466-nucleotide ribosomal RNA is filed under the name uncultured bacterium. RNAcentral describes it as "partial 16S ribosomal RNA". It matches the Rfam family "Bacterial small subunit ribosomal RNA", at positions 28 to 507 of the family's 1533-position model. The record is from RNAcentral.
GAUGAACGCUGGCGGCGUGCUUAACACAUGCAAGUCGAACGAUGAAGCCCAGCUUGCUGGGUGGAUUAGUGGCGAACGGGUGAGUAACACGUGAGUAACCUGCCCUUAACUCUGGGAUAAGCCUGGGAAACUGGGUCUAAUACCGGAUAGGAGCGCCUACCGCAUGGUGGGUGUUGGAAAGAUUUAUCGGUUUUGGAUGGACUCGCGGCCUAUCAGCUUGUUGGUGAGGUAAUGGCUCACCAAGGCGACGACGGGUAGCCGGCCUGAGAGGGUGACCGGCCACACUGGGACUGAGACACGGCCCAGACUCCUACGGGAGGCAGCAGUGGGGAAUAUUGCACAAUGGGCGAAAGCCUGAUGCAGCGACGCCGCGUGAGGGAUGACGGCCUUCGGGUUGUAAACCUCUUCCAGUAGGGAAGAAGCGAAAGUGACGGUACCUGCAGAAGAAGCACCGGCUAACUACGUG